GUAGCACUUUCACAGGUCCCCCCCGGGCUGUGGGGUCGGGAUUUGGUAGCUGGUGCUGAGAGAAAGACCCCUUGGCUGCAUCCUUGCCCUGGCCCCCGCCGUGCCAGUGGCGGUGGCACUCAGUGGGACAGAG
Sorex araneus (European shrew) is the source of this 133-nucleotide small nucleolar RNA. RefSeq annotates it as small nucleolar RNA SNORA30/SNORA37 family. The transcript has a single exon. NCBI's taxonomy places the organism in Eukaryota, Metazoa, Chordata, Mammalia, Eulipotyphla, Soricidae. The record is from RefSeq and is a predicted model, not a curated record.